CAAAGGGCAGGACUGAUGGAAUGAAUGAAUGGGCUGCUAAAGCAGCUGUGCAAACUGUCCCCUCCCGUUACCUUCACAGGUUGGAGCAAAAACAUUCGUCAUGCAACUGCCUGCCUCAUUGACCAACCACUGCGUGGCUCUACCCUGUAUGUUCAUUGCAAAGGGGAAUCCACUGAGCGGCUGUGUGUGCUUAGAGUGCAACAGCUGCACCCUCAAGCCUGCCUCCCCAGGUGAGCCAUGCCUGGGAGUGCAGGGUGGGAUCUGCAACUGCCACGUGAAGUAAUAACCCUAAAACCGGAGAGCUGUCGUCUUUCUAUGUCCCCUCUAGGAGACUCUCGCCCAGAGAACUGUGACCUGAGGAAUAAGUUGAGCAGAGCUGCGACAUCGCUGCUCUCCAUCCUAACCCUGUACCCUGACGGCAAUUGGGACACUGACGGAACUGCAGAGAACGCAUCGAAUCCAACAUCCACAAGAUAAAGAGCCUACUUGAAGUAUGAACGUCCAAAGAAUCAGCCUGGGACAACCCCUGGCGGUGACUGUCAUCAUGGCUGUUGACUAUGGGGAAAAUGCAUUAUGCUCCUAAUCUUCUGGGCUGAUAAGUUUUGUGUGCAUACAUAUUAUAAUUUGAUAUAUAUACACACACACACGUAUAUAUAUGUACACACACACAUAUCUAUAUGUAUAUUCGUUAUGAUUUAGUUGCUUGUACACCUUAUCUGUUUAGUUGGGCUAAUACCUGAAAGGCAUAUCUGAACCUUGUCCAUACUCUGGUGGCACCGAUACCACAUCUCUGUCAGUCAAGGGGUGGAGUGUGAUGAGGACACCUGUGGAAGAUCUGGAGAGGAGUCAGUGGCUGGCAGAGCAUGCGGUAGCAGGCCCUGCACGUGAAACUACACACUGACCAAAUUCCCAUGAGGGCCAGGCAGGCAUAUUCCAUUUUGUCAACAAUGCCUAGCUGCUUCCUGGACAGUAGCUACUCAAGGUUAGCACAGCUGAGAUAAGGAAACAGUUCUAGUAGAUUUAAGGGCCCCUUAGGAACAAUGAGU
This 1046-nucleotide long non-coding RNA is filed under the name Dromaius novaehollandiae (emu). RNAcentral describes it as "lncRNA (ENSDNVG00000003318.1)". The record is from RNAcentral. Lineage: Eukaryota; Metazoa; Chordata; Aves; Casuariiformes; Dromaiidae.